CGCGUAGGCGGACAGUUUAGUCAGAGGUGAAAGCCCAGGGCUCAACCUUGGAAAUGCCUUUGAUACUGGCUGUCUUGAGUACGGGAGAGGUGUGUGGAACUCCGAGUGUAGAGGUGAAAUUCGUAGAUAUUCGGAAGAACACCAGUGGCGAAGGCGACACACUGGCCCGUUACUGACGCUGAGGCGCGAAAGCGUGGGGAGCAAACAGGAUUAGAUACCCUGGUAGUCCACGCCGUAAACGAUGAGUGCUAGUUGUCGGCAUGCAUGCAUGUCGGUGACGCAGCUAACGCAUUAAGCACUCCGCCUGGGGAGUACGGUCGCAAGAUUAAA
RNAcentral lists this ribosomal RNA (330 nucleotides) under uncultured bacterium. RNAcentral describes it as "bacterial SSU rRNA". It matches the Rfam family "Bacterial small subunit ribosomal RNA", at positions 568 to 898 of the family's 1533-position model. The record is from RNAcentral.